RNAcentral lists this ribosomal RNA (434 nucleotides) under uncultured bacterium. Its description in RNAcentral is "partial 16S ribosomal RNA". It matches the Rfam family "Bacterial small subunit ribosomal RNA", at positions 29 to 507 of the family's 1533-position model. The record is from RNAcentral.
AGCGAACGCUGGCGGCAGGCCUAACACAUGCAAGUCGAACGAACCUUUCGGGGUUAGUGGCGGAAGGGUGAGUAACACGUGGGAACGUGCCUUUAUGUUCGGAAUAACUCAGGGAAACUUGUGCUAAUACCGAAUGUGCCCUUCGGGGGAAAGAUUAAUCGCCUUUAGAGCGGCCCGCGUCUGAUUAGCUAGUUGGUUGAGGUAAUGGCUCACCAAGGCGACGAUCAGUAGCUGGUCUGAGAGGAUGAUCAGCCACAUUGGGACUGAGACACGGCCCAAACUCCUACGGGAGGCAGCAGUGGGGAAUCUUGCGCAAUGGGCGAAAGCCUGACGCAGCCAUGCCGCGUGAAUGAUGAAGGUCUUAGGAUUGUAAAAUUCUUUCACCGGGGACGAUAAUGACGGUACCCGGAGAAGAAGCCCCGGCUAACUUCGUG